Molecule: long non-coding RNA, 468 nt
Filed under: Salmo salar (Atlantic salmon)
Lineage: Eukaryota; Metazoa; Chordata; Actinopteri; Salmoniformes; Salmonidae
Description: lncRNA (ENSSSAG00000118833.1)
Source: RNAcentral
CUCCAUUCUGUAGGCCUCCAGUCUGUAGGCCUUCACUAUGUUGUCCUGUCUCCAGUCUGUAGGCAUCCACUAUGUUGUAAUGUCUCUAUUCUGUAGUCCUCCACUAUGUUGUCAUGUCUCCAGUCUGUAGGCCUCCACUAUGAUGUAAUGUCUCCAGUCUGUAGGUCUCCACUAUGAUAUCAUGUCUCCAGUCUGUAGACCUCCACUAUAUUGUCAUUUCUCCAGUCUGUAGGUCUCCACUAUGAUGUCAUUUCUCCAGUCUGAAGGCCUCCACUAUAUUGUCAUUUCUCCAGUCUGUAGGCCUCCACUAUGAUAUCAUGUCUCCAGUCUGUAGUCCUCCAUUAUGUUGUCAUGUCUCCCAUCUGUAGUCUUCACUAUUUUGUCAUGUCUCCAGUCUGUAGGCCUCCACUAUGUUGUCCUGUCUCCAGUCCGUAGGCCUCCACUAUGAUGUAAUGUCUCCAGUCUGUA